UACAGAGGAGCCAAGCGUUGUCCGGAUUUAUUGGGUUUAAAGGGUGCGUAGGCGGCUUUGUAAGUCAGUGGUGAAAUAUGGCAGCUCAACUGUCAGGGUGCCAUUGAUACUGCGGAGCUUGAGUACAGAUGAGGUAGGCGGAAUUGACGGUGUAGCGGUGAAAUGCUUAGAUAUCGUCAAGAACACCGAUAGCGAAGGCAGCUUACUGGGCUGUAACUGACGCUGAGGCACGAAAGUGUGGGGAUCAAACAGG
Molecule: ribosomal RNA, 253 nt
Filed under: uncultured bacterium
Lineage: Bacteria
Description: partial 16S ribosomal RNA
Rfam family: Bacterial small subunit ribosomal RNA
Source: RNAcentral